UACUGCAUAAGACUGCAAUGAAGAAUUGUGGUGAAAGACGGCCUAAAUGCUGUCGCUAAAAGAUGAGCUUGCGACCUAUUAGUUAGUUGGCGGGGUAAAGGCCCACCAAGGCGAAGAUAGGUAACCGGCCUGAGAGGGUGUACGGUCACACUGGAACUGAGACACGGUCCAGACUCCUACGGGAGGCAGCAGUGGGGAAUAUUGCGCAAUGGGCGAAAGCCUGACGCAGCGACGCCGCGCGAAGGAUGAAGGUCUUCGGAUUGUAAACUUCUGUUAAGUGGGAAGAAAGACCAGCUGAUAAUACCAGACUGGGGAUGACGGUACCACUAGAGAAAGCACCGGC
Molecule: ribosomal RNA, 343 nt
Filed under: uncultured bacterium
Lineage: Bacteria
Description: bacterial SSU rRNA
Rfam family: Bacterial small subunit ribosomal RNA
Source: RNAcentral